Long non-coding RNA from Dermochelys coriacea (leatherback sea turtle), 155 nucleotides. RefSeq lists it as uncharacterized. NCBI's taxonomy places the organism in Eukaryota, Metazoa, Chordata, Testudines, Dermochelyidae. The record is from RefSeq and is a predicted model, not a curated record. The transcript has 2 exons.
AAUCCCUCCCAGCACUGUCCCUCAGGAAUAUACCAUUUAUUAAUUGGUUCACCACUUCCUCAAUGGAAAAUGGAUAUACGCCAGCCUUUGCAAACCAGAGCAGAUUUACCAACACUUCAGGCAAACUCAUUGGUAAAGAUAACGGUAAAAGAAGU